GCGGCAUGCCUUAUACAUGCAAGUCGAACGAGAAAGUCACUUCGGUGGCGAGUACAGUGGCGCACGGGUGAGUAACGCGUAGAUGAUCUACCCUUCAGUCUGGGACAACUCUUGGAAACGGGAGCUAAUACCGGAUAAAACCUUCGGGUUGAAAGAUUUAUCGCUGGGGGAUGAGUCUGCGUACCAUUAGCUUGUUGGUGGGGUAACGGCCUACCAAGGCGACGAUGGUUAGCGGGUCUGAGAGGACGAUCCGCCACACUGGAACUGAGACACGGUCCAGACUCCUACGGGAGGCAGCAGUAGGGAAUAUUGCGCAAUGGGGGCAACCCUGACGCAGCAAUGCCGCGUGAGUGAAGAAGGCCUUCGGGUCGUAAAGCUCUUUUAUGGGGGAAGAUGAUGACGGUACCCCAUGAAUAAGCACCGGCUAACUACGUGCCAGCAGCCGCGGUAAUACGUAGGGUGCGAGCGUUGUUCGGAAUUACUGGGCGUAAAGGGCGUGCAGGCGGAUUGGCAAGCCGGAGGUGAAAGCCCGGGGCUCAACCCCGGAGGGUCUUUCGGAACUGCCAGUCUUGAGAGGGUCAGGGGCCAGCGGAAUUCCUGGUGUAGAGGUGAAAUUCGUAGAGAUCAGGAGGAACACCGGCGGCGAAAGCGGCUGGCUGGGGCCACUCUGACGCUGAGGCGCGAAAGCGUGGGGAGCAAACAGGAUUAGAUACCCUGGUAGUCCACGCCGUAAACGAUGGGCACUAAGCGUCCGACGGGUUCGACCCUGUUGGGUGCUGCAGUUAACGCGUUAAGUGCCCCGCCUGGGGAGUACGGUCGCAAGACUAAACCAAUGAUAG
Molecule: ribosomal RNA, 839 nt
Filed under: delta proteobacterium SCGC AAA300-B06
Lineage: Bacteria; Deltaproteobacteria
Description: SSU rRNA
Rfam family: Bacterial small subunit ribosomal RNA
Source: RNAcentral